This 253-nucleotide ribosomal RNA is filed under the name uncultured bacterium. RNAcentral's name for it is "partial 16S ribosomal RNA". It matches the Rfam family "Bacterial small subunit ribosomal RNA", at positions 524 to 776 of the family's 1533-position model. The record is from RNAcentral.
UACGAAGGGUGCAAGCGUUACUCGGAAUUACUUGGCGUAAAGCGUGCGUAGGUGGUUUUUUAAGUCCGUUGUGAAAGCCCUGGGCUCAACCUGGGAAUGGCAGUGGAUACUGGAAAGCUAGAGUGCGGUAGAGGGUAGUGGAAUUCCCGGUGUAGCAGUGAAAUGCGUAGAGAUCGGGAGGAACACCAGUGGCGAAGGCGGCUACCUGGACCAGCACUGACACUGAGGCACGAAAGCGUGGGGAGCAAACAGG